GACGAACGCUGGCGGCGUGCCUAAUACAUGCAAGUAGAACGCUGAAGAGAGGAGCUUGCUCUUCUUGGAUGAGUUGCGAACGGGUGAGUAACGCGUAGGUAACCUGCCUUGUAGCGGGGGAUAACUAUUGGAAACGAUAGCUAAUACCGCAUAACAAUGGAUGACACAUGUCAUUUAUUUGAAAGGGGCAAUUGCUCCACUACAAGAUGGACCUGCGUUGUAUUAGCUAGUAGGUGAGGUAAUGGCUCAACUAGGCGACGAUACAUAGCCGAACCGAGAGGGUGAUCGGCCACCCCGGGACUGAGACCCGGCCCAGACUCCUACGGGAGGCAGCAGUAGGGAAUCUUCGGCAAUGGGGGCAACCCUGACCGAGCAACGCCGCGUGAGUGAAGAAGGUUUUCGGAUCGUAAAGAUCUGUUGUAAGUCAAGAACGGGUGUGAGAGUGGAAAGUUCACACUGUGACGGUAGCUUACCAGAAAGGGACGGCUAACUACGAG
This 497-nucleotide ribosomal RNA is filed under the name uncultured bacterium. RNAcentral describes it as "partial 16S ribosomal RNA". It matches the Rfam family "Bacterial small subunit ribosomal RNA", at positions 28 to 507 of the family's 1533-position model. The record is from RNAcentral.